RNAcentral lists this ribosomal RNA (460 nucleotides) under uncultured bacterium. RNAcentral's name for it is "partial 16S ribosomal RNA". It matches the Rfam family "Bacterial small subunit ribosomal RNA", at positions 338 to 795 of the family's 1533-position model. The record is from RNAcentral.
CCUACGGGAGGCAGCAGUGAGGAAUAUUGGUCAAUGGGCGCGAGCCUGAACCAGCCAAGUCGCGUGAAGGAUGACUGUCCUACGGGUUGUAAACUUCUUUUAUAAGGGAAUAAAGUGAGGCACGUGUGCCUUUUUGUAUGUACUUUAUGAAUAAGGAUCGGCUAACUCCGUGCCAGCAGCCGCGGUAAUCCUGAGGAUCCGAGCGUUAUCCGGAUUUAUUGGGUUUAAAGGGAGCGUAGAUGGGUUGUUAAGUCAGUUGUGAAAGUGUGCGGCUCAACCGUAAAAUUGCAGUUGAUACUGGCAGCCUUGAGUACAGGUGAGGUAGGCGGAAUGCGUGGUGUAGCGGUGAAAUGCAUAGAUAUCACGAAGAACUCCGAUUGCGAAGGCAGCUUACUAAACUGCCACUGACAUUGAGGCUCGAAAGUGUGGGUAUCAAACAGGAUUAGAUACCCUUGUAGUC